UACAGAGGUCUCAAGCGUUGUUCGGAUUCAUUGGGCGUAAAGGGUGCGUAGGCGGCGCGGUAAGUCGGGUGUGAAAUCUCGGGGCUUAACUCCGAAACUGCAUUCGAUACUGCCGUGCUUGAGGACUGGAGAGGAGACUGGAAUUUACGGUGUAGCGGUGAAUGCGUAGAUAUCGUAAGGAAGACCAGUGGCGAAGGCGGGUCUCUGGACAGUUCCUGACGCUGAGGCACGAAGGUCAGGGGAGCAAACGGG
Molecule: ribosomal RNA, 252 nt
Filed under: uncultured bacterium
Lineage: Bacteria
Description: partial 16S ribosomal RNA
Rfam family: Bacterial small subunit ribosomal RNA
Source: RNAcentral